RNAcentral lists this ribosomal RNA (819 nucleotides) under uncultured bacterium. RNAcentral describes it as "bacterial SSU rRNA". It matches the Rfam family "Bacterial small subunit ribosomal RNA", at positions 8 to 818 of the family's 1533-position model. The record is from RNAcentral.
AGAGUUUGAUCAUGGCUCAGGACGAACGCUGGCGGCGUGGAUUAGGCAUGCAAGUCGAACGGUAUCAUCCUUUCGGGGGUGAGAGAGUGGCGAACUGGUGAGUAACACGUAGGUUACCUACCCUCAAGACGGGGACAACCCAGGGAAACUUGGGCUAAUACCGGAUGUGAGCAACUUUUUAGUUGUUUGAAAGGUGGCGUAAGCUGUCGCUUGGGGAUGAGCCUGCGUCCUAUUAGUUAGUUGGUGAGGUAACGGCUCACCUAGGCAAUGAUAGGUAGGCGGCCUUAACGGGUGGUCGCCCACACUGGGAUUGAGAUACGGCCCAGACUCCUACGGGAGGCAGCAGUCGAGAAUAGUCUACAAUGGUCGGAAGACUGAUAGUGCGACGCCGCGUGAACGAUGAAUCCCUUCGGGGUGUAAAGUUCUUUUAUAUGUGAGCAGUGCUUCUUAUAUUAAGAGUAUGGGGAGAGAGAUAUUAGCAUAUGAAUAAGCAACGGCUAACUCCGUGCCAGCAGCCGCGGUAACACGGGGGUUGCGAGCGUUGUCCGGAAUUACUAGGCGUAAAGGGCAGGCAGGCGGAUCCAUAAGUUUAUCGUUUAAGGCGUCGGCUUAACCGGCGUAGGGCGGUAGAUACUGUGGAUCUGGAAUGCGGUUGGGGAAGACAGAAUUCCUGGUGUAGCGGUGGAAUGCGCAGAGAUCAGGAGGAAUACCGAAGGCGAAGGCAGUCUUCCAAGCCGUUAUUGACGCUCAACUGCGAAGGUGUGGGUAUCAAACAGGAUUAGAUACCCUGGUAGUCCACACAGUAAACGAUAAUCACUG